AUUUGAUUUCCACAGCAUCAGCUCCUUAAGGGAAGUAACUUCCUUAUUCUGCUAUGAUAGAAAGAAGUCCCCUACAGCCGUGUUUGGCGGCAUCUCUCCUGAUGAUGUUGGCGUUUGAAAACGGCAAGUGGGCGUGGAGCAUCUUCCAUAGGCUGCUGUGUGGGAGAACAUGGGAGCAAAGGGAAACUGAAGCAGAAGAGAAAGGCCAGGGUAACACCAUGUAGGGCAUCAGCUGACAAAUUAAGAAACUGGUAUGCGCGAAGGCUCCUUUAGACAUUCAGAAAUAAAUGUGUCCUGUGACACGGACGGCUCUGCUCAUACCUUCAAACAGAUCAGGGCUAAUAAACCACAAGGCUGAGCGUAAGGAACAACAAGCAAUUGAAGGGUCCAGCUGAAAUUGCAAACUAUAAAUCUGUCCCACAUGGCAGAAUUAUGCAAUUUUCUCCAGCAAAGCUCAGCAGUCCAGAGAUGGGAAAUGUCUGUGAUUAGAUAGGAGCAGGUUGGAAAGCACAGAUAGGUCUAAGAAGAUAAAAGGCAGAACGGCAAGCCCAGUUAGAUGAGCAGAUGAAAAACGGAAAAGGAUGGAUUUCAUCAGGAAAGGAAACCGGGAAGACUGGUCUGAACAGUUUCUUCCAGGUCAUGUUGUCAACUUGAUUCUAUCUGGAAAUGACUCAAACCUAAAACUGGUACACUUGUGAGGGAAUUUAGAUCAUUUUAAGUGGGAAGAUGCACUUCUGAUCCAGAUGUUGGCGAUAUGAAGGCAUACCUUUAGUCCCAGCCACACCUUCUUUGAGUUCCCCAGCCUAAAAAGGAGAGUGAUCUAUUUCAUUCAAAGGUAAAUUUAUCAAACUAAGGACAAGAGCAUGGAAGAGUAAUCACGUGAGAUAAUCACAGAGGACAUCCCAAGCUGGAAUACUCUAUAGGCACAUAAUACAAAUAAUGUAUUGCAAGACACUAGCUGAGACACAGAAAAGGGAAAGGAGAGAAAACAAAAAACACCUAAUCUCUCGUGAGAGACACAGCCAGAAUAUGGCAAAUACAUAAGCGAAUGCCAGCAACAAACCACUGAACUGAGAAUGGGACCCCCAUUGAAGGAAUCAGAGAAAGGUCUGAAAGAGCUGAAGGGGCCUGAGACCCCAUGUGAACAACAAUGCCAAGCAACCAGAGCUUCCAGGGACUAAGCCACUACCCAAAG
Rattus norvegicus (Norway rat) is the source of this 1195-nucleotide long non-coding RNA. Ensembl lists it as uncharacterized. The record is from Ensembl. NCBI's taxonomy places the organism in Eukaryota, Metazoa, Chordata, Mammalia, Rodentia, Muridae.